This 70-nucleotide transfer RNA is filed under the name Loxodonta africana (African savanna elephant). It matches the Rfam family "tRNA". Rfam says of the family: Transfer RNA (tRNA) molecules are approximately 80 nucleotides in length. Their secondary structure includes four short double-helical elements and three loops (D, anti-codon, and T loops). Lineage: Eukaryota; Metazoa; Chordata; Mammalia; Proboscidea; Elephantidae. The record is from Rfam by way of RNAcentral.
UCCUAGGUAGUGCAAACAGCACACUCAGCUGCUAACUGAAAGGCUGGAGGUUCGAGUCCACCCAAAGGUU